RNAcentral lists this ribosomal RNA (429 nucleotides) under Chloroflexota bacterium. RNAcentral's name for it is "Chloroflexi bacterium partial 16S ribosomal RNA". It matches the Rfam family "Bacterial small subunit ribosomal RNA", at positions 355 to 776 of the family's 1533-position model. Lineage: Bacteria; Bacillati; Chloroflexota. The record is from RNAcentral.
UGGGGAAUAUUGCACAAUGGGCGCAAGCCUGAUGCAGCCAUGCCGCGUGUGUGAAGAAGGCCUUCGGGUUGUAAAGCACUUUCAGCGGGGAGGAAGGCGAUAAGGUUAAUAACCUCAUCGAUUGACGUUACCCGCAGAAGAAGCACCGGCUAACUCCGUGCCAGCAGCCGCGGUAAUACGGAGGGUGCAAGCGUUAAUCGGAAUUACUGGGCGUAAAGCGCACGCAGGCGGUCUGUCAAGUCGGAUGUGAAAUCCCCGGGCUCAACCUGGGAACUGCAUCUGAUACUGGAAAGCUUGAGUCUCGUAGAGGGGGGUAGAAUUCCAGGUGUAGCGGUGAAAUGCGUAGAGAUCUGGAGGAAUACCGGUGGCGAAGGCGGCCCCCUGGACGAAGACUGACGCUCAGGUGCGAAAGCGUGGGGAGCAAACAGG